UAUGGGAUUGGAUUUGGAUCUGAAGAAAAACUCACAAAAAUUUACAAAUUGAGUGCGUGACAGUGUGAGAGAAAAAAUGAGGAUAAAAUAACUGAUCACAUGAGAUUGCCGGUGAGAAGAGACGGGGUUGAGUAGGAGAAGGAAGGGUAAAUUUGGAACCGGAAGACAGGAUUAGACACGUGGCAGUUAAUGGGACGGUAUUCUAGAGUCUCUGUGACUUUCUCACUGGAGGGAAAUUGACGGUUGAGAUUUUACUUCUACAGUCAUGGGCUCCACACGGGAGGAAAUUGUGGACGUACGAUUGCAUUGAGAGUAUGAUUUCCCGUGAUAAUGGAAAUCCGCGGUUAGUGAAUAAGUUAAUGAUAAAUUCGAUGUAUUUAAUUAUUCAUCAAUUAAUUUUUGUGAUAUUCAUCGAUACUUAACUUAUGUUAAGCACC
RNAcentral lists this long non-coding RNA (437 nucleotides) under Olea europaea (common olive). Its description in RNAcentral is "long non-coding RNA (OEUR_LNC009199)". The record is from RNAcentral. Lineage: Eukaryota; Viridiplantae; Streptophyta; Magnoliopsida; Lamiales; Oleaceae.